CUGCCAGGCCGAGGAGAUUCACAGAGAAUAAGACAGAUGAGGAGACUUUCCUUUGAGGGGAAGGGAGGACAUCUCUGAUUUAAGUUAAGUUCAAAAGUAGAAGAGGACUCAAGCCACCACAGGACAUCUGUAUCCGGGAAACCAGCCUAUCCUGCAUGCUGGUCAAAGCGAUGAAGUAAAGAAUUUAAAAGCGUUGAUCAUCUCAGAAAAGAAAGCAUCUCAGUAUAAUUUACAAAAGAACUGUUGAAGUCAAUCCAUUGCAGUGGCUGUUACUUCAGGGGUUAGAUGAAUCCAUGAACUAUGUUUUCAGGAGUUGAAUGUCACUGAGAUGAGAUCUGAAGCCACAUAUUUGGAGAAGGUUAUGGAAGUGCAUACAAGAGUAUGGAAUCUGUCUGUGACAUCCAUUGGAAGAUAUUCUGAGGACUUUUUCACUUCUUCCCACAAAACUUGAUCAAAAAACGUGGAGAAAAUAAAACUUUUGUGAUUCAAUUUCAAGUACUUCUUUGAAGGAGCCUCUGAAGAUGGUCCAUAGCCACAUCUAUUAACUACUUUCAAGCUAAUGCUCCCAAAGUGUGAUGUGAUCUCACUGUGGUUUAAAAAAAAAUCUGUUUAAAGUUAUAGAAAAGAAGAAUAACUAUUGAAUAGGAUAUUUAGAAUGAAAAACUGGACACAAACUGUGCUGUCCACUUUGAAAUCAUAUAAAAAGCAGUAACGUGGAUGGUACUAUGUAGCCAAAAAAAAAAAAAAAAAGAGC
Long non-coding RNA from Ictidomys tridecemlineatus (thirteen-lined ground squirrel), 754 nucleotides. RefSeq lists it as uncharacterized. NCBI's taxonomy places the organism in Eukaryota, Metazoa, Chordata, Mammalia, Rodentia, Sciuridae. The record is from RefSeq and is a predicted model, not a curated record.